UGGUAUUGAUUGGUGCUUGCAUCAUGAUUUACAUUUGAGUGAGUGGCGAACUGGUGAGUAACACGUGGGAAACCUGCCCAGAAGCGGGGGAUAACACCUGGAAACAGAUGCUAAUACCGCAUAACAACUUGGACCGCAUGGUCCGAGCUUGAAAGAUGGCUUCGGCUAUCACUUUUGGAUGGUCCCGCGGCGUAUUAGCUAGAUGGUGGGGUAACGGCUCACCAUGGCAAUGAUACGUAGCCGACCUGAGAGGGUAAUCGGCCACAUUGGGACUGAGACACGGCCCAAACUCCUACGGGAGGCAGCAGUAGGGAAUCUUCCACAAUGGACGAAAGUCUGAUGGAGCAACGCCGCGUGAGUGAAGAAGGGUUUCGGCUCGUAAAACUCUGUUGUUAAAGAAGAACAUAUCUGAGAGUAACUGUUCAGGUAUUGACGGUAUUUAACCAGAAAGCCACGGCUAACUACGUGCCAGCAGCCGCGGUAAUACGUAGGUGGCAAGCGUUGUCCGGAUUUAUUGGGCGUAAAGCGAGCGCAGGCGGUUUUUUAAGUCUGAUGUGAAAGCCUUCGGCUCAACCGAAGAAGUGCAUCGGAAACUGGGAAACUUGAGUGCAGAAGAGGACAGUGGAACUCCAUGUGUAGCGGUGAAAUGCGUAGAUAUAUGGAAGAACACCAGUGGCGAAGGCGGCUGUCUGGUCUGUAACUGACGCUGAGGCUCGAAAGUAUGGGUAGCAAACAGGAUUAGAUACCCUGGUAGUCCAUACCGUAAACGAUGAAUGCUAAGUGUUGGAGGGUUUCCGCCCUUCAGUGCUGCAGCUAACGCAUUAAGCAUUCCGCCUGGGGAGUACGGCCGCAAGGCUGAAACUCAAAGGAAUUGACGGGGGCCCGCACAAGCGGUGGAGCAUGUGGUUUAAUUCGAAGCUACGCGAAGAACCUUACCAGGUCUUGACAUACUAUGCAAAUCUAAGAGAUUAGACGUUCCCUUCGGGGACAUGGAUACAGGUGGUGCAUGGUUGUCGUCAGCUCGUGUCGUGAGAUGUUGGGUUAAGUCCCGCAACGAGCGCAACCCUUAUUAUCAGUUGCCAGCAUUAAGUUGGGCACUCUGGUGAGACUGCCGGUGACAAACCGGAGGAAGGUGGGGAUGACGUCAAAUCAUCAUGCCCCUUAUGACCUGGGCUACACACGUGCUACAAUGGAUGGUACAACGAGUUGCGAACUCGCGAGAGUAAGCUAAUCUCUUAAAGCCAUUCUCAGUUCGGAUUGUAGGCUGCAACUCGCCUACAUGAAGUCGGAAUCGCUAGUAAUCGCGGAUCAGCAUGCCGCGGUGAAUACGUUCCCGGGCCUUGUACACACCGCCCGUCACACCAUGAGAGUUUGUAACACCCAAAGUCGGUGGGGUAACCUUUUAGGAACCAGCCGCCUAAGGUGACAG
RNAcentral lists this ribosomal RNA (1429 nucleotides) under Lactiplantibacillus plantarum. RNAcentral's name for it is "bacterial SSU rRNA". It matches the Rfam family "Bacterial small subunit ribosomal RNA". The record is from RNAcentral. Lineage: Bacteria; Bacillati; Bacillota; Bacilli; Lactobacillales; Lactobacillaceae.